GACGAACGCUGGCGGCGUGCUUAACGCAUGCAAGUCGAACGGUGAAGCGCCUUACUUUUUGGUGGGUGUGGAUGAGUGGCGAACGGGUGAGUAACACGUGAGUAACCUGCCCCCUUCUUCUGGAUAACCGCAUGAAAGUGUGGCUAAUACGGGAUAUUCUGGGUCUGUCGCAUGAUGGGUCUGGGAAAGAUAUUGUUUCGGUGGGGGAUGGGCUCGCGGCCUAUCAGCUUGUUGGUGGGGUGAUGGCCUACCAAGGCGGUGACGGGUAGCCGGCCUGAGAGGGUGGACGGCCACACUGGGACUGAGACACGGGCCAGACUCCUACGGGAGGCAGCAGUGGGGAAUAUUGCACAAUGGGCGCAAGCCUGAUGCAGCGACGCCGCGUGAGGGAUGGAGGCCUUCGGGUUGUGAACCUCUUUCGCCAGUGAAGCAGGCCUGCCUCGUUUGUGGGUGGGUUGACGGUAGCUGGAUAAGAAGCGCCGGCUAACUACGUG
RNAcentral lists this ribosomal RNA (494 nucleotides) under uncultured bacterium. RNAcentral describes it as "partial 16S ribosomal RNA". It matches the Rfam family "Bacterial small subunit ribosomal RNA", at positions 28 to 507 of the family's 1533-position model. The record is from RNAcentral.